UACGGGGGGGGCAAGCGUUGUUCGGAAUUACUGGGCGUAAAGGGCUUGUAGGCGGCCAACUAAGUCGGACGUGAAAUCCCUCGGCUUAACCGGGGAACUGCGUCCGAUACUGGAUGGCUUGAGUAUGGGAGAGGGAUGCGGAAUUCCAGGUGUAGCGGUGAAAUGCGUAGAUAUCUGGAGGAACACCGGUGGCGAAGGCGGCAUCCUGGACCAUUACUGACGCUGAGGAGCGAAAGCCAGGGGAGCAAACGGG
This 253-nucleotide ribosomal RNA is filed under the name uncultured bacterium. Its description in RNAcentral is "partial 16S ribosomal RNA". It matches the Rfam family "Bacterial small subunit ribosomal RNA", at positions 524 to 776 of the family's 1533-position model. The record is from RNAcentral.